Molecule: microRNA precursor, 130 nt
Filed under: Podarcis lilfordi (Lilford's wall lizard)
Lineage: Eukaryota; Metazoa; Chordata; Lepidosauria; Squamata; Lacertidae
Source: RNAcentral
GCAUAGGCAAACUCCGGCCCUCCAGCUGUUUGGGACUACAAUUCCCAUCAUCCCUGAACACUGGUCCUGUUAGCUAGGGCUGAUGGGAAUUGUAGUCCCAAACAUCUGGAGGGCUGGAGUUUGCCUAUGC